GGGACAGGAAGGGAGGAUGAGAAGCCUCAGGCCUGUCCAGCCUCGGAAGGAUAAACAAAACCCCCUGCCCUCCUCCAAUGGAGAAUCUGAAGUCUCCAGCCUUUACAUCCAAUUGGUCUAAUAAAGAGCUGAAUGGCCAAUAGCCUCGCAGGUGAAAGGAAGGAUAGGCGGAGCCGGCUGGAAGAGAGAAUAAAUAGAAAGAGAAAUCUCGGAAAAAAAGAGAUUGAGGAGCAAGAGAAGGAGGAGGAGAGGAGGACUCCAGGGGCCAGCCACCCAAUCACACAGCCAGACAUGGAAGAAGAAGGAAAGAAAAGAAAUCAAAAAAGGUAAGAGCCCAGAGGCCAAAGAUAGACGAGAUAAUCUAAGUCAAAGAAAGCUGGCUAGAAAUAAGCCAAGCUAAGGCCGGGUAUUCACAAGUAAUAAUGUCUCCAUGUGUAUUUAUUGGGGAGCUGGGGGGCAGGACCCCCAAAGAGCCAAAACCGUAAAAGAGCAAAAGAGCAAAGAGUAAAAGGCAGCCAACAGCGCACCGUUUUCGAGGUUCACCCACGCUGCAGCAUCCGUGUGACUGGGUAAGGGACUCACAAGCACCCUGUGCUGAAGAUUUACUCCCCAGGACACUGGCAGGGGUGGUGGAGCCUUUGGGGGCCAUUGUCGCGACCCUUAGGCCUUUAAACAGACCGUAUGAAGGGCUGUUGACCCCCCCAUUUGUGCCACUCAUCAGAGGCCUAAACGACAGGGCCACUCAGCUCUGCACAGGAGUCUCCAGAGCCUUGGUCCAAGGGAAACCUUGUUUCUUGCAGGUCAGUUGCCUCAAGUAUCCCAUCAUAGCGAUGGAACGCAGGCUGCUGCAAGAACUCGAUCAUCCUUCCCUUAUUUCUCUAUAUACGCUGCAUUUUCUUUAACCAUGUAUUAGCAAAAAUUUUCUCAUUUUUGCUACCACAAGUGGCAUUGCUAUGAACUUCUGUGUUCAGGUUCACGUUCACCUGUCCUCUUAAAAGUAUUUAUCUAUUUAUUGUAUGUUUUGUGUGCGUAUGUGAAUGCCUGCAUGUAUGUACGUGCACAAUGGGAACGCCUGGUGUUCGCAGAGGCCAGGACAGAACAUCAGUCCCCUGCAAUUUGAGUUACAAGCAUCUGUGAGCUAUCACAUGGGAACUUGGAACCAAACCUACGCCCUCUGCAAGAGCAACACAAGGGCUCCUGACCCCUGAACCUUCUCUCCAGUGGAGAUGUCCUUAUUCCUCCCUUGUGCACCUGGGAGUGGAGCUGUCACGUCACAGACUGUCUGAGAAGGUUGGGGCUGCUGGCCAGUCAUCCUGCACUGCUUUGCAGAUCUAACAGGCAUGUUCAGGGGUUUCAGCCCCCCUACAGCCCUGCCAACACCCACUCUUUUGUGUUCCUUACAACCGUCCUUCUGGAUAGGAAUAAUGCCCUGUUGUGGUUUGACUUGAUUUGCUUUGACGGCUCACUUUGCCGGCCACCAUUUUGUCCUCUGUAUAUUUAUCUUCUGUGAAGAAACAUAUAUUAGACCCCUUGCCCAGUUUCUGGUGGUUGUCUUUUUGUUACUAAGCAGCGUGAGUCUAGUUAUAUAUUCUAAACCCAAACCCUUUACUGAGAUGCGAGUUUUGAGUAUUUCCUCCGAUUCUGUGAGUUGUUUUUUAUUUUCUGGAUGACGUCCUUUGAAGAAGGCCGGACAUUUUCCAGCCAGACCAGAUGACACUGCUUGUCUUCUCAGAUGCCCGGGACACUGAGACAGGAGGAACUACAAGUUCAAGACCAGGUGUCUCCACACAUUGUUUGAAAACGGACUCAUUCUUUAUCGAACUACCACAGCACCCUUUGUGGGAACUGGUCAACUUCUGAACUCUGAGGUUGGUCCCACUCUAACCCAGAAAACAUGAUUCCUGCAGACGUGUCUGUCUUUGCCAAAGAGCACACCAGCCACUGAGACCAUUCUGCCUGUGUUGUGCCCUUGAAGCCCCACAUAUGAACUUUAGGAUCCAAGCACCAUCAUCUACCAAAGAGCCAGCUGAGCUUGUGACAAGACCUUCCCUGGACCUGGGUCCCACACAGAGAGUCCUGCUGGUGUCUGACUUCCACCAGACCCACUAAUCAGUCUCCUGUUAAGACCCGGCCGUCGAGGGGCUGACGAGGAAAGUACAUAAUCCACGGGUCAGGUGUCAGGGAAGAGGCAUAAGAGCAUGGAGGUUGCAGUCCUUCUGAAACAAGGCGCUUCAGAGUUGCUUAGGCUUCACGCCUCUCCAAAACAACGCAUGGUCGUCUCCUAGCUCUAAAUCAACAAACUCUGAACCUUCGUCAUAGCAGCCAACAGCCUCCCUGGAAACACCAGGGCCAGUGGAACUAUGACUGGGGAUCCCCAUCGAGCCAAACAGCCACAUUUCCAAUGAGUUUUCUGGCCCAUGACCUUGGGAUGUCCUUCCAUGCACAGAAGUCCUCUUGGGUUUCUUUCAA
This is a non-coding RNA of Myodes glareolus (Bank vole), 2469 nucleotides long. The record is from RefSeq and is a predicted model, not a curated record. Lineage: Eukaryota; Metazoa; Chordata; Mammalia; Rodentia; Cricetidae.